This 311-nucleotide long non-coding RNA is filed under the name Androctonus crassicauda. Lineage: Eukaryota; Metazoa; Arthropoda; Arachnida; Scorpiones; Buthidae. The record is from RNAcentral.
GUAGACUUCAUUAGGAGUUCCUGCAAUUGCAUGGCUAGAGGCUUUUAUCAUCUUUGCACUGCUCCAGUUUAUUUGGAUUUCUUUAGUGUAGGCCUCUACGGCAAGAGCUGUGGUGAGAUUGCCUGCAGCUAUGUCCUUUUUGUGUUCUUCUACUCUGUAGCAAAGUCCUUGUUAUCACAUCUGUGUAUGCCGUAUUCUGCUGGGAGCUCACUUUUCACAAACCUCUUUAGUUAUAGACAUUGCUAUUUUAUAACCACAUUCUUUGUAAUAGUUAUUUUUUCAAUUUUAUCUAUUGUCAUGAGACAUUUAUC